UUAAGCGACUAAGCGUACACGGUGGAUGCCCUGGCAGUCAGAGGCGAUGAAGGACGUGCUAAUCUGCGAAAAGCGUCGGUAAGGUGAUAUGAACCGUUAUAGCCGGCGAUGUCCGAAUGGGGAAACCCAGUGCAAUUCGUUGCACUAUCGUUAACUGAAUACAUAGGUUAACGAGGCGAACCGGGGGAACUGAAACAUCUAAGUACCCCGAGGAAAAGAAAUCAACCGAGAUUCCCCCAGUAGCGGCGAGCGAACGGGGAGCAGCCCAGAGUCUGAAUCAGCUUGUGUGUUAGUGGAACGGUCUGGAAAGUCCGACGGUACAGGGUGAUAGUCCCGUACACCAAAAUGCACAGGNUGUGAACUCGAAGAGUAGGGCGGGACACGUGGUAUCCUGUCUGAAUAUGGGGGGACCAUCCUCCAAGGCUAAAUACUCCUGACUGACCGAUAGUGAACCAGUACCGUGAGGGAAAGGCGAAAAGAACCCCGGCGAGGGGAGUGAAAAAGAACCUGAAACCGUGUACGUACAAGCAGUGGGAGCACCUUCGGGUGUGACUGCGUACCUUUUGUAUAAUGGGUCAGCGACUUAUAUUCUGUAGCAAGGUUAACCGUAUAGGGGAGCCGCAGGGAAACCGAGUCUUAACUGGGCGUUAAGUUGCAGGGUAUAGACCCGAAACCCGGUGAUCUAGCCAUGGGCAGGUUGAAGGUUGGGUAACACUAACUGGAGGACCGAACCGACUAAUGUUGAAAAAUUAGCGGAUGACUUGUGGCUGGGGGUGAAAGGCCAAUCAAACCGGGAGAUAGCUGGUUCUCCCCGAAAGCUAUUUAGGUAGCGCCUCGUGAAUUCAUCUUCGGGGGUAGAGCACUGUUUCGGCUAGGGGGUCAUCCCGACUUACCAACCCGAUGCAAACUACGAAUACCGAAGAAUGUUAUCACGGGAGACACACGGCGGGUGCUAACGUCCGUCGUGAAGAGGGAAACAACCCAGACCGCCAGCUAAGGUCCCAAAGUCAUGGUUAAGUGGGAAACGAUGUGGGAAGGCACAGACAGCCAGGAUGUUGGCUUAGAAGCAGCCAUCAUUUAAAGAAAGCGUAAUAGCUCACUGGUCGAGUCGGCCUGCGCGGAAGAUGUAACGGGGCUAAACCAUGCACCGAAGCUGCGGCAGCGACACUAUGUGUUGUUGGGUAGGGGAGCGUUCUGUAAGCCUGCGAAGGUGACCUGUGAGGGUUGCUGGAGGUAUCAGAAGUGCGAAUGCUGACAUAAGUAACGAUAAAGCGGGUGAAAAGCCCGCUCGCCGGAAGACCAAGGGUUCCUGUCCAACGUUAAUCGGGGCAGGGUGAGUCGACCCCUAAGGCGAGGCCGAAAGGCGUAGUCGAUGGGAAACAGGUUAAUAUUCCUGUACUUGGUGUUACUGCGAAGGGGGGACGGAGAAGGCUAUGUUAGCCGGGCGACGGUUGUCCCGGUUUAAGCAUGUAGGCUGAUUGUCCAGGCAAAUCCGGAUAAUCAAGGCUGAGGUGUGAUGACGAGGCACUACGGUGCUGAAGUAACAAAUGCCCUGCUUCCAGGAAAAGCCUCUAAGCAUCAGGUAACAUCAAAUCGUACCCCAAACCGACACAGGUGGUCAGGUAGAGAAUACCAAGGCGCUUGAGAGAACUCGGGUGAAGGAACUAGGCAAAAUGGUGCCGUAACUUCGGGAGAAGGCACGCUGGUGUGUAGGUGAAGUCCCUGCGGAUGGAGCUGAGACCAGUCGAAGAUACCAGCUGGCUGCAACUGUUUAUUAAAAACACAGCACUGUGCAAACACGAAAGUGGACGUAUACGGUGUGACGCCUGCCCGGUGCCGGAAGGUUAAUUGAUGGGGUUAUCCGUAAGGAGAAGCUCUUGAUCGAAGCCCCGGUAAACGGCGGCCGUAACUAUAACGGUCCUAAGGUAGCGAAAUUCCUUGUCGGGUAAGUUCCGACCUGCACGAAUGGCGUAAUGAUGGCCAGGCUGUCUCCACCCGAGACUCAGUGAAAUUGAACUCGCUGUGAAGAUGCAGUGUACCCGCGGCAAGACGGAAAGACCCCGUGAACCUUUACUAUAGCUUGACACUGAACAUUGAGCCUUGAUGUGUAGGAUAGGUGGGAGGCUUUGAAGCGUGGACGCCAGUCUGCGUGGAGCCAACCUUGAAAUACCACCCUUUAAUGUUUGAUGUUCUAACGUUGGCCCCUUACCGGGGUUGCGGACAGUGUCUGGUGGGUAGUUUGACUGGGGCGGUCUCCUCCCAAAGCGUAACGGAGGAGCACGAAGGUUAGCUAAUCCUGGUCGGACAUCAGGAGGUUAGUGCAAUGGCAUAAGCUAGCUUGACUGCGAGCGUGACGGCGCGAGCAGGUGCGAAAGCAGGUCAUAGUGAUCCGGUGGUUCUGAAUGGAAGGGCCAUCGCUCAACGGAUAAAAGGUACUCCGGGGAUAACAGGCUGAUACCGCCCAAGAGUUCAUAUCGACGGCGGUGUUUGGCACCUCGAUGUCGGCUCAUCACAUCCUGGGGCUGAAGUAGGUCCCAAGGGUAUGGCUGUUCGCCAUUUAAAGUGGUACGCGAGCUGGGUUUAGAACGUCGUGAGACAGUUCGGUCCCUAUCUGCCGUGGGCGCUGGAGAAUUGAGGGGGGCUGCUCCUAGUACGAGAGGACCGGAGUGGACGCAUCACUGGUGUUCGGGUUGUCAUGCCAAUGGCACUGCCCGGUAGCUAAAUGCGGAAGAGAUAAGUGCUGAAAGCAUCUAAGCACGAAACUUGCCCCGAGAUGAGUUCUCCCUGAGACUUUAAGUCUCCUGAAGGAACGUUNGACGUUGAUAGGCCGGGUGUGUAAGCGCAGCGAUGCGUUGAGCUAACCGGUACUAAUGAACCGUGAGGCUUAACCUU
RNAcentral lists this ribosomal RNA (2892 nucleotides) under Klebsiella pneumoniae. Its description in RNAcentral is "23S ribosomal RNA". It matches the Rfam family "Bacterial large subunit ribosomal RNA". The record is from RNAcentral. Lineage: Bacteria; Pseudomonadati; Pseudomonadota; Gammaproteobacteria; Enterobacterales; Enterobacteriaceae.